RNAcentral lists this ribosomal RNA (253 nucleotides) under uncultured bacterium. RNAcentral's name for it is "partial 16S ribosomal RNA". It matches the Rfam family "Bacterial small subunit ribosomal RNA", at positions 524 to 776 of the family's 1533-position model. The record is from RNAcentral.
UACGUAGGGGGCGAGCGUUGUCCGGAUUUAUUGGGCGUAAAGAGCGUGUAGGCGGCCAGGUAGGUCCGUUGUGAAAACUCGAGGCUCAACCUCGAGAUGUCGAUGGAAACCAUCUGGCUAGAGUCCGGAAGAGGAGAGUGGAAUUCCUGGUGUAGCGGUGAAAUGCGCAGAUAUCAGGAAGAACACCCGUGGCUAAGGCGGCUCUCUAGUACGGUACUGACGCUGAGACGCGAAAGCGUGGGGAGCGAACAGG